GCGGAGGGAUCAUUACACAACAAAAUAUGAAGGCCUGGCUUUGCGGCCGGCUGAAAUAUUUUUUUCACCCAUGUCUUUUGCGCACUUGUUGUUUCCUGGGCGGGUUCGCCCGCCACCAGGACCAAACCAUAAACCUUUUUUUUAUGCAGUUGCAAUCAGCGUCAGUAUAAACAAUGUAAUUAUUACAACUUUCAACAACGGAUCUCUUGGUUCUGGCAUCGAUGAAGAACGCAGCGAAAUGCGAUACGUAGUGUGAAUUGCAGAAUUCAGUGAAUCAUCGAAUCUUUGAACGCACAUUGCGCCCUUUGGUAUUCCAAAGGGCAUGCCUGUUCGAGCGUCAUUUGUACCCUCAAGCUUUGCUUGGUGUUGGGCGUUUUUGUCUCCCUCUUUGCUGGGAGACUCGCCUUAAAACGAUUGGCAGCCGGCCUACUGGUUUCGGAGCGCAGCACAUAUUUUGCACUCUGUAUCAGGAGAAAAGGACGGUAAUCCAUCAAGACUCUUACGAUUUUUAACUUUUGACCUCGGAUCAGGUAGGGAUACCCGCUGAACUUAAGCAUAUCA
Molecule: ribosomal RNA, 561 nt
Filed under: Bipolaris maydis (southern corn leaf blight pathogen)
Lineage: Eukaryota; Fungi; Ascomycota; Dothideomycetes; Pleosporales; Pleosporaceae
Description: eukaryotic LSU rRNA
Rfam family: 5.8S ribosomal RNA (bases 187-340)
Source: RNAcentral